AACGAACGCUGGCGGCAUGCCUAACACAUGCAAGUCGAACGAGACCCUUCGGGUCUAGUGGCGCACGGGUGCGUAACGCGUGGGAAUCUGCCCAAAGGUUCGGAAUAACUCAGGGAAACUUGAGCUAAUACCGGAUAAUGUCGCAAGACCAAAGAUUUAUUGCCUUUGGAUGAGCCCGCGUAGGAUUAGCUAGUUGGUGGGUAAAGACCUACCAAGGCGACGAUCCUUAGCUGGUCNGAGAGGA
This 244-nucleotide ribosomal RNA is filed under the name uncultured bacterium. RNAcentral's name for it is "partial 16S ribosomal RNA". It matches the Rfam family "Bacterial small subunit ribosomal RNA", at positions 29 to 300 of the family's 1533-position model. The record is from RNAcentral.